GAUGAACGCUGGCGGCGUGCCUAAUACAUGCAAGUCGAGCGAACGGACGAGAAGCUUGCUUCUCUGAUGUUAGCGGCGGACGGGUGAGUAACACGUGGAUAACCUACCUAUAAGACUGGGAUAACUUCGGGAAACCGGAGCUAAUACCGGAUAAUAUUGUGAACCGCAUGGUUCAAAAGUGAAAGACGGUCUUGCUGUCACUUAUAGAUGGAUCCGCGCUGCAUUAGCUAGUUGGUAAGUUAACGGCUUACCAAGGCAACGAUGCAUAGCCGACCUGGGAGGGUGAUCGGCCACACUGGAACUGAGACACGGUCCAGACUCCUACGGGAGGCAGCAGUAGGGAAUCUUACGCAGAGGGCGAAAGCCUGACGGAGCAACGCCGCGUGAGUGAUGAAGGUCUUCGGAUCGUAAAACUCUGUUAUUAGGGAAGAACAUAUGUGUAAGUAACUGUGCACAUCUUGACGGUACCUAAUCAGAAAGCCACGGCUAACUACGUG
RNAcentral lists this ribosomal RNA (497 nucleotides) under uncultured bacterium. RNAcentral describes it as "partial 16S ribosomal RNA". It matches the Rfam family "Bacterial small subunit ribosomal RNA", at positions 28 to 507 of the family's 1533-position model. The record is from RNAcentral.